ACUGCUCAGUAACACGUGGACAACCUACCCUAAGGAGGGGGAUAACCCCGGGAAACUGGGGAUAAUACCCCAUAGACUAGAGAAGCUGGAAUGCUCUCAAGUCCAAAGGUCCGCCGCCUUAGGAUGGGUCUGCGGUCGAUUAGGUUGUUGUUGGGGUAACGGCCCAACAAGCCCGUGAUCGAUACGGGUUGUGAGAGCAAGAGCCCGGAGAUGGAUUCUGAGACACGAGUCCAGGCCCUACGGGGCGCAGCAGGCGCGAAAACUUUACAAUGCGGGAAACCGUGAUAAGGGAACCCCGAGUGCCCGUAAAUUCGGGCUGUCCAUCAGCGUAAAUAACUGGUGAAGAAAGGGCCGGGCAAGACCGGUGCCAGCCGCCGCGGUAAUACCGGCGGCUCGAGUGGUGGCCACUAUUAUUGGGCUUAAAGCGUCCGUAGCUUGGUUGUUAAGUCUCUUGGGAAAUCUACCGGCUCAACCGGUAGGCGUUCAGGAGAUACUGGCAAUCUAGGGACCGGGAGAGGUGAGAGGUACUCCAGGGGUAGGAGUGAAAUCCUGUAAUCCUUGGGGGACCACCUGUGGCGAAGGCGUCUCACUAGAACGGCUCCGACAGUGAGGGACGAAAGCUGGGGGAGCAAACCGGAUUAGAUACCCGGGUAGUCCCAGCUGUAAACGAUGCGCGUUAGGUGUAUCGGUGACCACGAGUCACCGAGGUGCCGAAGGGAAACCGUGAAACGUGCCGCCUGGGAAGUACGGUCGCAAGGCUGAAACUUAAAGGAAUUGGCGGGGGAGCAC
This 789-nucleotide ribosomal RNA is filed under the name uncultured Methanomicrobiales archaeon. RNAcentral describes it as "bacterial SSU rRNA". It matches the Rfam family "Archaeal small subunit ribosomal RNA", at positions 85 to 879 of the family's 1478-position model. The record is from RNAcentral. Lineage: Archaea; Methanobacteriati; Methanobacteriota; Methanomicrobia; Methanomicrobiales.